AGUGAACGCUGGCGGUAGGCCUAACACAUGCAAGUCGAACGGCAGCACAGUAAGAUCUUGCUCUUACGGGUUGCGAGUGGCGGACGUGUGAGGAAUACAUCGUAAUCUACUUUUUCGUGGGGGAUAACGUAGGGAAACUUACGCUAAUACCGCAUACGACCUACGGGUGAAAGCAUGGGAUCUUCUGACCUUGCGCGAUUGAAUGAGCCGAUGUCGGUUUAGCUAGUUGGCGGGGGAAAGGCCCACCAAGGCGACGAUCCGUAGCUGGUCUGAGAGGAUGAUCGGCCACACUGGAACUGAGACACGGUCAAGACUCCUACGGGAGGCAGCAGUGGGGAAUAUGGGACAAUGGGCGCAAGCAUGAUCCAGCCAUACCGAGUGGGUGAAGAAGGCCUUCGGGUUGUAAAGACCUUUUGUUGGGAAAGAAAAGCAGCAGGUUAAUACCCCGCUGUUCUGACGGUACCCAAAGAAUAAGCACCGGCUAACUUCGUG
Molecule: ribosomal RNA, 492 nt
Filed under: uncultured bacterium
Lineage: Bacteria
Description: partial 16S ribosomal RNA
Rfam family: Bacterial small subunit ribosomal RNA
Source: RNAcentral